This is a non-coding RNA of Coemansia sp. RSA 2708, 72 nucleotides long. The record is from the annotation of a GenBank genome assembly. NCBI's taxonomy places the organism in Eukaryota, Fungi, Kickxellomycota, Kickxellomycetes, Kickxellales, Kickxellaceae.
GGCUCAGUGGUCUAGUCGAAUGAUUCCUGCUUUGGGUGCAGGAGGUCCCGGGUUCAAUUCCCGGCUGAGCCC